UGGAUAUAUAGUCAUCUUAAUUAGUUGGAUGUUAAUCGUAAGUUUACGCCAUCUAUAUAAUAGAAACCAAAAGUUUGAAUUUUGAUGUUGAAAACUUAUAUUAUUAGCCUAUGCUUUUUGUCACGUAAAAGACUUUUCCUAAGUAAGUUUCUCCGCCGAUGAAUGUGGAUUCGUCUCUCGUUUCCAUAAUCAUCAUCACUAACCUAUAUAUCCCAUUUUCAAAAGGUCAAUCAAAACGUUAGUACUAAUUUAUAAAAAAAUAAAAUAAGUAGAAAACGACUUGACCAUAACUUUACAUGAUUACAAAUCCUUUUUACU
This 318-nucleotide long non-coding RNA is filed under the name Capsella rubella. RNAcentral describes it as "long non-coding RNA (CRUB_LNC000801)". The record is from RNAcentral. Lineage: Eukaryota; Viridiplantae; Streptophyta; Magnoliopsida; Brassicales; Brassicaceae.